RNAcentral lists this ribosomal RNA (345 nucleotides) under uncultured Rhodoferax sp. RNAcentral's name for it is "bacterial SSU rRNA". It matches the Rfam family "Bacterial small subunit ribosomal RNA", at positions 1035 to 1382 of the family's 1533-position model. The record is from RNAcentral. Lineage: Bacteria; Pseudomonadati; Pseudomonadota; Betaproteobacteria; Burkholderiales; Comamonadaceae.
CAGGUGCUGCAUGGCUGUCGUCAGCUCGUGUCGUGAGAUGUUGGGUUAAGUCCCGCAACGAGCGCAACCCUUGUCAUUAGUUGCUACAUUCAGUUGGGCACUCUAAUGAGACUGCCGGUGACAAGCCGGAGGAAGGUGGGGAUGACGUCAAGUCCUCAUGGCCCUUAUAGGUGGGGCUACACACGUCAUACAAUGGCUGGUACAAAGGGUUGCCAACCCGCGAGGGGGAGCCAAUCCCAUAAAGCCAGUCGUAGUCCGGAUCGUAGUCUGCAACUCGACUACGUGAAGUCGGAAUCGCUAGUAAUCGUGGAUCAGAAUGUCACGGUGAAUACGUUCCCGGGUCUU